Long non-coding RNA from Amblyraja radiata (thorny skate), 324 nucleotides. RefSeq lists it as uncharacterized. The record is from RefSeq and is a predicted model, not a curated record. The transcript is spliced from 2 exons. NCBI's taxonomy places the organism in Eukaryota, Metazoa, Chordata, Chondrichthyes, Rajiformes, Rajidae.
CUAUUGACAUAGGUUCAAUGUCUCAGUAAUGUGUUUACUGCUGUUUGGAUAGCAACACGUCCUUAAAGGGACGGCAGUCUUUUUAAAAACACGGGCUUGUCUAGGAUGUCAAAACGUAGUGCGGGCGAGGUGAGGUGGUGGGGUGCUGCCUUGUGUUUAGUGAAACAAGGAGUGAAGAGACCGGAGUCUUCUCAUGGUUUAUUUUAAUUUUCACCUGACGACAUCACAACUCCAAAUGAAGACAUCGCAACAGAGGGACCAUCACUGCGAACAAUCUGUACUUUCUUUCUCUUGUUUAAUAAUUAAAAAAACAGUAUUGUUUUA